This is a long non-coding RNA of Oncorhynchus tshawytscha (Chinook salmon), 546 nucleotides long. RefSeq lists it as uncharacterized. The record is from RefSeq and is a predicted model, not a curated record. Lineage: Eukaryota; Metazoa; Chordata; Actinopteri; Salmoniformes; Salmonidae. The transcript is spliced from 3 exons.
GCCGCCCCCAGCAGCACCUUUCACCCCCAGGACUUCAGUGACCUCAUCAGCUUCAUCCUCUAUGGCAGCCAGCACCGCGGAGGUAAAGAACCGUGGCUGGAGCGUCUGUACCACAGCUGUCAGCGUCUGGAGAAGCGCGAGGGUGUCUCGUCAGGUCGUGAAGGGGGUGUGUGCGUCUCCGGUGCGGGUGGCGGUGUGUGUGUACCGCGUGUUCUGCUGAAGACUGAGGCCGUGCUGUGGCAGUGGGCGGUGUGGGAGGCAGCUCAGUUCACAGUGUUGUCUAAACUCCGUACCCCCGCUGGGACGGGCACAGGACACCUUCCAGACCAUAGAGGGUAUAAUCCGCAGCCUGGCGGCCCACAGUCUGAACACUGAACAGGAGCUCAGCCAAUGGAGCGGCGGCGACACAGACGACGGUCACCAUAGCAACCAGCUGCGUCUGGCGCUGCUCCUGCAGUUCCUGGAAAACCUGGAGAAACUGAUGUACAACGCCUACGAGGGCUGUGCCAACGCUCUGACCGCUCCGCCUAAGGUACACACACAUAC